CCUACGGGAGGCAGCAGUGAGGAAUAUUGGUCAAUGGACGCAAGUCUGAACCAGCCAUGCCGCGUGCAGGAAGACGGCUCAAUGAGUUGUAAACCGCUUUUGUACGAGGGUAAAUCCCGAUACGUGUAUCGGGUUGAAAGUAUCGUACGAAUAAGGAUCGGCUAACUCCGUGCCAGCAGCCGCGGUAAUACGGAGGAUUCAAGCGUUAUCCGGAUUUAUUGGGUUUAAAGGGUGCGUAGGCGGUUCGAUAAGUUAGCGGUGAAAUCCCGGGGCUCAACUCCGGCACUGCCUCUGAAACUGUCGGGCUAGAGUUUAGUUGAGGUAGGCGGAAUGUAUGGUGUAGCGGUGAAAUGCAUAGAGAUCAUACAGAACACCGAUUGCGAAGGCAGCUUACCAAACUACGACUGACGUUGAGGCACGAAAGCGUGGGGAGCGAACAGGAUUAGAUACCCUUGUAGUC
This 460-nucleotide ribosomal RNA is filed under the name uncultured bacterium. RNAcentral describes it as "partial 16S ribosomal RNA". It matches the Rfam family "Bacterial small subunit ribosomal RNA", at positions 338 to 795 of the family's 1533-position model. The record is from RNAcentral.